CCCUUAGAUGUUCUGGGCCGCACGCGUGCUACACUGAGUGGAUCAGCGGGUCAGGUUACGCGAGAGCGUUUCCUAAUCUUCAAAUCCGCUCGUGAUGGGGAUUGACGGUUGCAAUUUUCCGUCAUGAACGAGGAAUACCUUGUAAGCGCGGGUCAUCAUCCCGCGCUGAAUACGUCCCUGCCCUUUGUACACACCGCCCGUCGCUCCUACCGAUUGAGUGGUCCGGUGAGGCUUUGGGAUCUAAGCGAAAAGAGCGUUUCGCUCCUUUUGCUGGGAGAACUCAGUCGAACCUUAUCAUUUAGAGGAGGGAGAAGUCGUAACA
This 322-nucleotide ribosomal RNA is filed under the name uncultured eukaryote. RNAcentral describes it as "partial 18S ribosomal RNA". It matches the Rfam family "Eukaryotic small subunit ribosomal RNA", at positions 1470 to 1796 of the family's 1831-position model. The record is from RNAcentral.